Molecule: unclassified non-coding RNA, 379 nt
Filed under: plant metagenome
Description: partial contains 5.8S ribosomal RNA, internal transcribed spacer 2, and large subunit ribosomal RNA
Rfam family: 5.8S ribosomal RNA (bases 1-106)
Source: RNAcentral
CGAAAUGCGAUAAGUAAUGUGAAUUGCAGAAUUCAGUGAAUCAUCGAAUCUUUGAACGCACCUUGCGCUCCUUGGUAUUCCUUGGAGCAUGCCUGUUUGAGUAUCAUGAAAUCUUCAAAGUAAAUCUUUUGUUAACUCAAUUGGUUUCUACUUUGGUAUUGGAGGUCUUUGCAGCUUCACACCUGCUCCUCUUUGUUCAUUAGCUGGAUCUCAGUGUUAUGCUUGGUUCCACUCGGCGUGAUAAGUUAUCUAUCGCUGAGGACACUGUAAAAGGUGGCCAAGGUAAAUGCAGAUGAACCGCUUCUAAUAGUCCAUUGACUUGGACAAUACUUUUAUGAUCUGAUCUCAGAUCAGGUAGGACUACCCGCUGAACUUAAGC